This 515-nucleotide ribosomal RNA is filed under the name uncultured bacterium. RNAcentral describes it as "partial 16S ribosomal RNA". It matches the Rfam family "Bacterial small subunit ribosomal RNA", at positions 28 to 523 of the family's 1533-position model. The record is from RNAcentral.
GAUGAACGCUGGCGGCGUGCCUAAUACAUGCAAGUCGAGCGAAUGGAUUAAGAGCUUGCUCUUAUGAAGUUAGCGGCGGACGGGUGAGUAAUACGUGGGUAACCUGCCCAUAAGACCAGGAUAACUCCGGGAAACCGGGGCCAAUACCGGAUAAUAUUUUGAACUGCAUGGUUCAAAAUUGAAAGGCGGCUUCGGCUGUCACUUAUGGAUGGACUCGCGUCGCAUUAGCUAGUUGGUGAGGUAACGGCUCACCAAGGCAACGAUGCGUAGCCGACCUGAGAGGGUGAUCGGCCACACUGGGACUGAGACACGGCCCAGACUCCUACGGGAGGCAGCAGUAGGGAAUCUUCCGCAAUGGACGAAAGUCUGACGGAGCAACGCCGCGUGAGUGAUGAAGGCUUUCGGGUCGUAAAACUCUGUUGUUAGGGAAGAACAAGUGCUAGUUGAAUAAGCUGGCACCUUGACGGUACCUAACCAGAAAGCCACGGCAAACUACGUGCCAGCCGCCGCCGUAA